Molecule: ribosomal RNA, 483 nt
Filed under: uncultured bacterium
Lineage: Bacteria
Description: partial 16S ribosomal RNA
Rfam family: Bacterial small subunit ribosomal RNA
Source: RNAcentral
GACGAACGCUGGCGGCGUGCUUAACACAUGCAAGUCGAACGCUGAAGCUCAGCUUUUGUUGGGUGGAUGAGUGGCGAACGGGUGAGUAACACGUGAGUAACCUGCCCCCUUCUUUGGGAUAACGCCCGGAAACGGGUGCUAAUACUGGAUAUUCACUGGUCUUCGCAUGGGGGUUGGUGGAAAGGGUUUUUCUGGUGGGGGAUGGGCUCGCGGCCUAUCAGCUUGUUGGUGGGGUGAUGGCCUACCAAGGCUUUGACGGGUAGCCGGCCUGAGAGGGUGACCGGUCACAUUGGGACUGAGAUACGGCCCAGACUACUACGGGAGGCAGCAGUGGGGAAUAAUGCACAAUGGGCGCAAGCCUGAUGCAGCGACGCCGCGUGAGGGAUGGAGGCCUUCGGGUUGUGAACCUCUUUCGCUCAUGGUCAAGCCGCAACAAUGGUUGUGGUGAGGGUAGUGGGUAAAGAAGCGCCGGCUAACUACGUG